CGGGGAGGCGGAGGGCAGAAACGGGGGCCUUUGGAGCCGGCCUGGGCCGGAGUGCAAACUCUGUCCCUCCGAGCUCGGGACUUGGCGCUUUUGGGUGCAAAGCGAGUGGCCCCCAGAAUUCCCGCUCUUGAGGAGGCCCGAGUCUGGGAGGGGAGAGAUUUGGAGAAACCGAAUCUCAGCUCUGUGAAGGCAGUGGGCUUUGUCCCCUUGCUGUAUUCCCAGUGCCUGAAAUGUGGCUGGCAGGAAACUUCCAUCUUGGCUACGUGUGUAUAUGUGUGCACACCGGCCUAAAUGUGCAUCUGUGAGCAUACAUGCACUGGAUCUUGAUGCACAGAUGGGGAGACUGAGGCUAGGGGAAGGUCAAGAGGAGCCGACUGUGGACACAACUUUUCUUGGGUCUCCCAAGGGCCUGCACCAGGGCUGAGCACAUCGUGCUGCUUAAGGAAUGCCAAUUGGUUGAGUUGGUCAGUACAGAUGAAUGGCUUACCCUUCCUUCCUCCACUGCCUCAGUGACCUUCCCCGGCUCAACCCCACAUCCCCUUAUGGCAGGAUUCUGGCGUUUGUCCUCUGUUCCUGCUCUGGCCUGGAGGGACCAGCCAGGACUUGCACUGUUGGCUUCAUCUCAGGCAGAUUCCUGACUGGCUCUUGUCGCCUUGGAUCCUGACCCCAGAAUGACUCCUAUGGACGUCUUCUCCUCCCUCAAC
This is a long non-coding RNA of Budorcas taxicolor (takin), 704 nucleotides long. RefSeq lists it as uncharacterized. The transcript is spliced from 5 exons. Lineage: Eukaryota; Metazoa; Chordata; Mammalia; Artiodactyla; Bovidae. The record is from RefSeq and is a predicted model, not a curated record.